Molecule: ribosomal RNA, 443 nt
Filed under: uncultured bacterium
Lineage: Bacteria
Description: partial 16S ribosomal RNA
Rfam family: Bacterial small subunit ribosomal RNA
Source: RNAcentral
CCUACGGGAGGCAGCAGUGGGGAAUAUUGGGCAAUGGGCGCAAGCCUGACCCAGCAACGCCGCGUGAAGGAAGAAGGCUUUCGGGUUGUAAACUUCUUUUCUGAGGGACGAAGAAAGUGUCGGUACCUCAGGAAUAAGCCACGGCUAACUACCUGCCAGCAGCCGCGGUAAUACGUAGGUGGCAAGCGAUAUCCGGAUAUAUUGGGUGUAAAGGGCGUGUAGGCGGGAAAGCAAGUCAGUUGUGAAAACUCAGGGCUCAACCCUGAGCCUGCAUUUGAAACUGUUUUGCUUGAGUGCGGGAGAGGCAAUCGGAAGUCCGUGUGUAGCGGUAAAAUGCGUAGAUAUACGGAGGAACACCAGUGGCGAAGGCGGAUUGCUGGACAGUAACUGACGCUGAGGCGCGAAAGCGUGGGGAGCAAACAGGAUUAGAUACCCGGGUAGUC